UGAUGGCGACCGGCGCACGGGUGAGUAACACGUAUCCAACCUGCCGAUGACUCGGGGAUAGCCUUUCGAAAGAAAGAUUAAUACCCGAUGGCAUAGUUCUUCCGCAUGGUGGAACUAUUAAAGAAUUUCGGUCAUCGAUGGGGAUGCGUUCCAUUAGGUUGUUGGCGGGGUAACGGCCCACCAAGCCUUCGAUGGAUAGGGGUUCUGAGAGGAAGGUCCCCCACAUUGGAACUGAGACACGGUCCAAACUCCUACGGGAGGGCAGCAUG
Molecule: ribosomal RNA, 269 nt
Filed under: uncultured bacterium
Lineage: Bacteria
Description: partial 16S ribosomal RNA
Rfam family: Bacterial small subunit ribosomal RNA
Source: RNAcentral